Molecule: unclassified non-coding RNA, 329 nt
Filed under: soil metagenome
Description: partial contains 5.8S ribosomal RNA, internal transcribed spacer 2, and large subunit ribosomal RNA
Rfam family: 5.8S ribosomal RNA (bases 1-120)
Source: RNAcentral
GAUGAAGAACGUAGCGAAAUGCGAUAAGUAAUGUGAAUUGCAGAAUUCAGUGAAUCAUCGAAUCUUUGAACGCACAUUGCGCCCCUUGGUAUCCCGAGGGGCAUGCCUGUUCGAGCGUCAUUUCACCACUCAAGCCUGGCUUGGUGUUGGGCGACGUCCCCUUUGGGGACGCGCCUUGAAACGCUCGGCGGCGUGGCACCGGCUUUAAGCGUAGCAGAAUCUUUCGCUUUGGAAGUCGGGGCCCCGUCUGCCGGAAGACCUACUCGCAAGGUUGACCUCGGAUCAGGCAGGGAUACCCGCUGAACUUAAGCAUAUCAAUAAGCGGAGGA